This 218-nucleotide unclassified non-coding RNA is filed under the name Hevea brasiliensis (rubber tree). Lineage: Eukaryota; Viridiplantae; Streptophyta; Magnoliopsida; Malpighiales; Euphorbiaceae. The record is from RNAcentral.
GUUUGCAGUAACAUGAGGGAAGUUGCUGAGAUGGUGCUUGUAUUAUCUGCUCUAGGGAAGAUGAGAGGAGGUAGAGGUCCAACUGUUGCAGAGAAGGAGAUGGUGGAGGAGGCUAGGGAGAGAUUAGCUGAGGUUUGUUUGAAGUUUGCGCCGAAGGAUGUGUUUCCGAGUGAUGGUUUUGGAAGUGUUAUUGAGGAUCUUGGGAUUAAUAAGCUGAC